GGUUAAUUAGCUCAGUUGGUAGAGCACGCGACUCUUAAUCGCGGGGUCCAGGGUUCGAACCCCUGAUUGACCACCA
This 76-nucleotide transfer RNA is filed under the name Clostridium sp. Its description in RNAcentral is "tRNA-Lys". It matches the Rfam family "tRNA". From Rfam's summary of the family: Transfer RNA (tRNA) molecules are approximately 80 nucleotides in length. Their secondary structure includes four short double-helical elements and three loops (D, anti-codon, and T loops). The record is from RNAcentral. Lineage: Bacteria; Bacillati; Bacillota; Clostridia; Eubacteriales; Clostridiaceae.